UUUUUUUUCCUUGUUUCAGACACAUUUGCUUUAAAAAAAAAAGAAAUACACUCUCCUAUGGCGAUUGAAGAAAUGGAAUUGGGUCUUCACGAAUUGACUCAUCGUCAUCUCCAAGAUCCGAUGAAAUCGAAGCCGAUCUGAUGCAGUCAUAUAAAGGUAUUGGUGUGAUAGUUCGAUUUGGUGUUCAACAUAUCAAAACUCCAAAGUAUACUUAAAUACAAAAAACAACAAAACUCUCUCUCAAAGUAGAUUCAUCUUUGGUAGAGAGAAGAAGAAGGCGAUCUCUGACCGAAGGACUUAUUCUGAUCCUUAAAGGUGUGGAUGCCUUUGACUUCAAUCAACCAAGUUUUUCUCCACAGCCUAAUCUCAUCAAGGU
Molecule: long non-coding RNA, 376 nt
Organism: Raphanus sativus (radish)
Lineage: Eukaryota; Viridiplantae; Streptophyta; Magnoliopsida; Brassicales; Brassicaceae
Exons: 4
Source: RefSeq, a predicted model, not a curated record